Molecule: transfer RNA, 66 nt
Filed under: Quasipaa verrucospinosa
Lineage: Eukaryota; Metazoa; Chordata; Amphibia; Anura; Dicroglossidae
Description: tRNA-Cys
Rfam family: tRNA
About the family: Transfer RNA (tRNA) molecules are approximately 80 nucleotides in length. Their secondary structure includes four short double-helical elements and three loops (D, anti-codon, and T loops). Further hydrogen bonds mediate the characteristic L-shaped molecular structure. tRNAs have two regions of fundamental functional importance: the anti-codon, which is responsible for specific mRNA codon recognition, and the 3' end, to which the tRNAs corresponding amino acid is attached (by aminoacyl-tRNA synthetases). tRNAs cope with the degeneracy of the genetic code in two manners: having more than one tRNA (with a specific anti-codon) for a particular amino acid; and 'wobble' base-pairing, i.e. permitting non-standard base-pairing at the 3rd anti-codon position.
Source: RNAcentral
GGCCUUGUAGUGUUAGCACGUGUGGUUGCAAACCUCAAAAUGCAGAAUAAACCCCUGCCGGGGCUU